UUCUUGGUCAUUUAGAGGAAGUAAAAGUCGUAACAAGGUUCCGUAGGUGAACCUGCGGAAGGAUCAUUAAUGGAUUUUACAGAUGGGCUUGAUGCUCGCAGUUGAUAUCUGCAUGUGCUCGCUCUUCUGAUUUUUGUUUUACACCUGUGCACUUGAUCUUUGUUUUUUUUCAGGCGUUUAGGGGUUAGGGGUUAGGGGCUAUAUAGAAGCCUGCCUUAAGCCUGCCUUUGGGAAAGUUAUAUUAGACCCGUUCAAUAUUUUCAAGGCCCAUGGAUGUUUAUCUGCCACAAGGCUUCUAAUACAACUUUUAACAAUGGAUCUCUUGGCUCUCGCAUCGAUGAAGAACGCAGCGAAAUGCGAUAAGUAAUGUGAAUUGCAGAAUUCAGUGAAUCAUCGAGUCUUUGAACGCACCUUGCGCUCUCUGGUAUUCUGGAGAGCACACCUGUUCGAGUGUCAUUAAGACUCUCAAAUAAAAGGUGGCUUUGCUGUCAUCUCUUGUUUGGAUCUGGGCUUUGCUGCAUUUAAUGUGGCUAGUCUUAAAUCUAUUAGCUGAUCCUUAUUGGGGGGGUUGUCUUUGGUUCUACUCAGUGUGAUAAUUAUCCAACAUUGAGGACAGUGUCAGAACUGGCCAAUAGCUCUCUGUCUGGGUUGCUUCCAAGUUGUCUCCAGGACAAUUGCCUUAGUGUUCUGGCCUCGAUC
Molecule: ribosomal RNA, 699 nt
Filed under: uncultured Cantharellales
Lineage: Eukaryota; Fungi; Basidiomycota; Agaricomycetes; Cantharellales
Description: eukaryotic LSU rRNA
Rfam family: 5.8S ribosomal RNA (bases 303-456)
Source: RNAcentral